This 1438-nucleotide ribosomal RNA is filed under the name uncultured organism. Its description in RNAcentral is "SSU rRNA". It matches the Rfam family "Bacterial small subunit ribosomal RNA". The record is from RNAcentral.
UAACACAUGCAAGUCGAGGGGCAGCAUGGUCUUAUUUUGUUAAGGCCGAUGGCGACCGGCGCACGGGUGAGUAACACGUAUCCAACCUGCCGUCUACUCUUGGACAGCCUUCUGAAAGGAAGAUUAAUACAAGAUGGCAUCAUGAGUCCGCAUGUUCACAUGAUUAAAGGUAUUCCGGUAGACGAUGGGGAUGCGUUCCAUUAGAUAGUAGGCGGGGUAACGGCCCACCUAGUCUUCGAUGGAUAGGGGUUCUGAGAGGAAGGUCCCCCACAUUGGAACUGAGACACGGUCCAAACUCCUACGGGAGGCAGCAGUGAGGAAUAUUGGUCAAUGGGCGAGAGCCUGAACCAGCCAAGUAGCGUGAAGGAUGACUGCCCUAUGGGUUGUAAACUUCUUUUAUAAAGGAAUAAAGUCGGGUAUGGAUACCCGUUUGCAUGUACUUUAUGAAUAAGGAUCGGCUAACUCCGUGCCAGCAGCCGCGGUAAUACGGAGGAUCCGAGCGUUAUCCGGAUUUAUUGGGUUUAAAGGGAGCGUAGAUGGAUGUUUAAGUCAGUUGUGAAAGUUUGCGGCUCAACCGUAAAAUUGCAGUUGAUACUGGAUAUCUUGGGUGCAGUUGAGGCAGGCGGAAUUCGUGGUGUAGCGGUGAAAUGCUUAGAUAUCACGAAGAACUCCGAUUGCGAAGGCAGCCUGCUAAGCUGCAACUGACAUUGAGGCUCGAAAGUGUGGGUAUCAAACAGGAUUAGAUACCCUGGUAGUCCACACGGUAAACGAUGAAUACUCGCUGUUUGCGAUAUACAGCAAGCGGCCAAGCGAAAGCGUUAAGUAUUCCACCUGGGGAGUACGCCGGCAACGGUGAAACUCAAAGGAAUUGACGGGGGCCCGCACAAGCGGAGGAACAUGUGGUUUAAUUCGAUGAUACGCGAGGAACCUUACCCGGGCUUAAAUUGCAGAUGAAUUACGGUGAAAGCCGUAAGCCGCAAGGCAUCUGUGAAGGUGCUGCAUGGUUGUCGUCAGCUCGUGCCGUGAGGUGUCGGCUUAAGUGCCAUAACGAGCGCAACCCUUGUUGUCAGUUACUAACAGGUUCCGCUGAGGACUCUGACAAGACUGCCAUCGUAAGAUGUGAGGAAGGUGGGGAUGACGUCAAAUCAGCACGGCCCUUACGUCCGGGGCUACACACGUGUUACAAUGGGGGGUACAGAGGGCCGCUACCACGCGAGUGGAUGCCAAUCCCCAAAACCUCUCUCAGUUCGGACUGGAGUCUGCAACCCGACUCCACGAAGCUGGAUUCGCUAGUAAUCGCGCAUCAGCCACGGCGCGGUGAAUACGUUCCCGGGCCUUGUACACACCGCCCGUCAAGCCAUGGGAGCCGGGGGUACCUGAAGUGCGUAACCGCGAGGAGCGCCCUAGGGUAAAACUGGUGACUGGGGCUAAGUCAUAA